GAUGAACGCUGGCGGCGUGCCUAAUACAUGCAAGUCGAGCGAACGGACGAGAAGCUUGCUUCUCUGAUGUUAGCGGCGGACGGGUGAGUAACACGUGGAUAACCUAUCUAUAAGACUGGGAUAACUUCGGGAAACCGGAGCUAAUACCGGAUAAUAUUUUGAACCGCAUGAUUCAAAAGUGAAAGACGGUCUUGCUGUCACUUAUAGAUGGAUCCGCGCUGCAUUAGCUAGUUGGUAAGGUAACGGCUUACCAAGGCAUCGAUGCAUAGCCGACCUGAGAGGGUGAUCGGCCACACUGGAACUGAGACACGGUCCAGACUCCUACGGGAGGCAGCAGUAGGGAAUCUUCCGCAAUGGGCGAAAGCCUGACGGAGCAACGCCGCGUGAGUGAUGAAGGUCUUCGGAUCGUAAAACUCUGUUAUUAGGGAAGAACAUAUGUGUAAGUAACUGUGCACAUCUUGACGGUACCUAAUCAGAAAGCCACGGCUAACUACGUG
This 497-nucleotide ribosomal RNA is filed under the name uncultured bacterium. RNAcentral describes it as "partial 16S ribosomal RNA". It matches the Rfam family "Bacterial small subunit ribosomal RNA", at positions 28 to 507 of the family's 1533-position model. The record is from RNAcentral.